AUUGAACGCUGGCGGCAUGCCUUACACAUGCAAGUCGAACGGCAGCACGGGAGCAAUCCUGGUGGCGAGUGGCGAACGGGUGAGUAAUAUAUCGGAACGUGCCCAGUCGUGGGGGAUAACGUAGCGAAAGCUACGCUAAUACCGCAUACGAUCUAUGGAUGAAAGCGGGGGAUCGCAAGACCUCGCGCGAUUGGAGCGGCCGAUAUCAGAUUAGGUAGUUGGUGAGGUAAAGGCUCACCAAGCCGACGAUCUGUAGCUGGUCUGAGAGGACGAUNAGCCACACUGGGACUGAGACACGGCCCAGACUCCUACGGGAGGCAGCAGUGGGGAAUAUUGGACAAUGGGCGAAGCCUGAUCCAGCAAUGCCGCGUGAGUGA
Molecule: ribosomal RNA, 377 nt
Filed under: uncultured bacterium
Lineage: Bacteria
Description: bacterial SSU rRNA
Rfam family: Bacterial small subunit ribosomal RNA
Source: RNAcentral